CCGUGCGGUGGCUGGUGGCGGCGGCGCUGGCGUGGGUGGCCGCGCAGGCGUGGGCGCUGACGGUGCGGUUCGAGCCCGUCGCGCCGG
RNAcentral lists this transfer RNA (87 nucleotides) under Tepidimonas taiwanensis. RNAcentral describes it as "tRNA-Pro". Lineage: Bacteria; Pseudomonadati; Pseudomonadota; Betaproteobacteria; Burkholderiales. The record is from RNAcentral.